UACGGAGGAUGCAAGCGUUAUCCGGAAUGAUUGGGCGUAAAGCGUCCGCAGGUGGUAUUUCAAGUCUGCUGUCAAAGAGUUUGGCUUAACCAAAUAAAGGCAGUGGAAACUGAAAAACUAGAGUGCGUUCGGGGUAGAGGGAAUUCCUGGUGUAGCGGUGAAAUGCGUAGAGAUCAGGAAGAACACCGGUGGCGAAAGCGCUCUACUGGGCCUGCACUGACACUGAGGGACGAAAGCUAGGGGAGCGAAUGGC
This 253-nucleotide ribosomal RNA is filed under the name uncultured prokaryote. RNAcentral describes it as "partial 16S ribosomal RNA". It matches the Rfam family "Bacterial small subunit ribosomal RNA", at positions 524 to 776 of the family's 1533-position model. The record is from RNAcentral.